RNAcentral lists this ribosomal RNA (253 nucleotides) under uncultured bacterium. RNAcentral describes it as "partial 16S ribosomal RNA". It matches the Rfam family "Bacterial small subunit ribosomal RNA", at positions 524 to 776 of the family's 1533-position model. The record is from RNAcentral.
UACGUAGGGUGCAAGCGUUGUCCGGAAUCACUGGGCGUAAAGGGCGCGUAGGCGGCCGUGUAAGUCACCUGUGAAAUCCCGGGGCUCAACUCCGGGGCUGCAGGUGAGACUGCGUGGCUAGAGCACGGUAGAGGCGAGUGGAAUUCCCGGUGUAGCGGUGGAAUGCGUAGAUAUCGGGAAGAACACCGGUGGCGAAGGCGGCUCGCUGGGCCGUUGCUGACGCUGAGGCGCGAAAGCGUGGGGAGCAAACAGG